GUUGCCCUGCCUUCUUGUUUGUCUAGAUAUAUGAAAGAAAUGACUUGGAAAAUUACUUAAAAAGUAAUUUAAGGUAUAAGAUGAUAUUCUCCAAUAAAAGAUUUUCAUCUGCUUCUGCCAGGUUCCUGGCAUUCUGUGACCACCUUUGUUUUAUUUCAGACUGGACAGCCGGCACCACCCCAUGAUUCAAGGAUGGCCAUAGCCCAGUGCAGGAGCAGAUUUGCUUCCAGUUUGCCCUUCCUCCUAGCUGAACUCCAGGCUCCAGCCCAGAGAAGCAAGAAAAGAGCA
RNAcentral lists this long non-coding RNA (288 nucleotides) under Homo sapiens (human). Its description in RNAcentral is "non-protein coding ZNF236-DT:20". Lineage: Eukaryota; Metazoa; Chordata; Mammalia; Primates; Hominidae. The record is from RNAcentral.